AUUGAACGCUGGCGGAAUGCUUUACACAUGCAAGUCGAACGGCAGCACGGGGGCAACCCUGGUGGCGAGUGGCGAACGGGUGAGUAAUACAUCGGAACGUGCCCAGUCGUGGGGGAUAACGUAGCGAAAGCUACGCUAAUACCGCAUACGAUCUACGGAUGAAAGCGGGGGAUCGCAAGACCUCGCGCGAUUGGAGCGGCCGAUGGCAGAUUAGGUAGUUGGUGGGGUAAAGGCUCACCAAGCCUUCGAUCUGUAGCUGGUCUGAGAGGACGACCAGCCACACUGGGACUGAGACACGGCCCAGACUCCUACGGGAGGCAGCAGUGGGGAAUUUUGGACAAUGGGCGAAAGCCUGAUCCAGCCAUUCCGCGUGCAGGAUGAAGGCCCUCGGGUUGUAAACUGCUUUUGUACGGAACGAAACGGCCUUUUCUAAUACAGAGGGCUAAUGACGGUACCGUAAGAAUAAGCACCGGCUAACUACGUGCCAGCAGCCGCGGUAAUGUCG
This 505-nucleotide ribosomal RNA is filed under the name uncultured bacterium. Its description in RNAcentral is "bacterial SSU rRNA". It matches the Rfam family "Bacterial small subunit ribosomal RNA", at positions 30 to 527 of the family's 1533-position model. The record is from RNAcentral.